This 230-nucleotide ribosomal RNA is filed under the name uncultured bacterium. RNAcentral's name for it is "partial 16S ribosomal RNA". It matches the Rfam family "Bacterial small subunit ribosomal RNA", at positions 562 to 791 of the family's 1533-position model. The record is from RNAcentral.
AAAGGGUGCGUAGGCGGCCUGUUAAGUCAGAGGUGAAAGACGGUAGCUCAACUAUCGCAGUGCCUUUGAUACUGAUGGGCUUGAAUGGACUAGAGGUAGGCGGAAUGAGACAAGUAGCGGUGAAAUGCAUAGAUAUGUCUCAGAACACCGAUUGCGAAGGCAGCUUACUAUGGUUUUAUUGACGCUGAGGCACGAAAGCGUGGGGAUCAAACAGGAUUAGAUACCCGUGU